GAUGAACGCUGGCGGCGUGCCUAAUACAUGCAAGUCGAGCGAACAGACGAGGAGCUUGCUCCUCUGACGUUAGCGGCGGACGGGUGAGUAACACGUGGAUAACCUACCUAUAAGACUGGGAUAACUUCGGGAAACCGGAGCUAAUACCGGAUAAUAUAUUGAACCGCAUGGUUCAAUAGUGAAAGACGGUUUUGCUGUCACUUAUAGAUGGAUCCGCGCCGCAUUAGCUAGUUGGUAAGGUAACGGCUUACCAAGGCAACGAUGCGUAGCCGACCUGAGAGGGUGAUCGGCCACACUGGAACUGAGACACGGUCCAGACUCCUACGGGAGGCAGCAGUAGGGAAUCAUCCGCAAUGGGCGAAAGCCUGACGGAGCAACGCCGCGUGAGUGAUGAAGGUCUUCGGAUCGUAAAACUCUGUUAUUAGGGAAGAACAAAUGUGUAAGUAACUAUGCACGUCUUGACGGUACCUAAUCAGAAAGCCACGGCUAACUACGUG
RNAcentral lists this ribosomal RNA (497 nucleotides) under uncultured bacterium. Its description in RNAcentral is "partial 16S ribosomal RNA". It matches the Rfam family "Bacterial small subunit ribosomal RNA", at positions 28 to 507 of the family's 1533-position model. The record is from RNAcentral.